GGCCAAAGGGCGAAGGUCACCGGGGGGGGGGAGAAGAGAGUGAGAGCGGAGAGCUGAGCGCCGAUUGGCUGGAGGGCUGGCGCCAGCGUGACGGCGCGGCCGAUCAUGUGACCUCAGGCGGAAGUAGGCCUUGGGGGCCGUCGGGGCGCGAAGCGGGGCCUGGACCGGGCCGAGCCCCCCCCCCGGUCCCCGUUACCGGCGUCAUCGGCUGGGGGGCGGGCACCCCCCCCGGAGCUCGGGCCCCCGCGGGAGGUUCCCCUGCUCCAGCGCUGUUUUAAGGCCCACGGGGCGGCGCCGGGGGAGCCUGGGCGGGCCGCGGCCUUGUCCCGGGUUGCCUGUCCCCUUCCCGGGCCCUUGACUUCCCAGCGACGCUUGGUGGUUACACGUUAGGGUAGUUGGUGAAUGCAGGCGAGGUCUCUGGCAGCUCCUCCAUCUUCUGUGAAUCCUUGGGGAUGGUUUUGCCAGUCAAGCCCCCUCUCCUCACUCUGGCUGGACCCCCGAGUCCCCCCGGUCCCCUCCACCAGCCCCAGGAAGCGGGAGUGCGUGGUACCGGUCACGCAUGCCCGUGUCUUUGCCCUCCUGCCUGGUGAGUCUUCAAGUGUUGCGCGUUCAGCUGUUACUUAUCAGAAAAAGGCACUGGGGGCCCUUUUGCAGGAAAAAAAAAGGGGGGGAAAAAAAAACAACAAACCCAGGGUUAUCACUUGGCCUCGGCGGGUUUUGGACCAGCGGGGAUCAGUGAUAAUACAUUGUAUUGAUCCAAGCCGGCAAAGGAUCGCGUCUUAUCAGAGCUGCACGUACCGGCGGCUGGCAAGUGCCCCAUAAGUGCCAGUUUGGGCUCUGAUCUGUCAAAUAGCUCCGGUGGAGCAGAGUCCAGGCCAGCUCAUGUGCUAAUUACCGGAGCACGUCUGAUGCUCGACCAAACGGCCUUUUAAUUGAGCCUUCUAGGUUGAUAGUGUGCCCCAGACAGCACGUAACCCACCUUUCCCCCUGAGCCUGAUGCUGCCGCUCGCCAUGGGGACGAGGUUCCACAUCAAAGUGUUCGGCUGUCCUAUUAAGCCCCUUUAACUCAGCAGUUUUUAUAGUUAUUUAAGAGACGAUAAGGUUGAAGCAGAUGCGGUCAUUUUCGGGAGACUUUGAA
Molecule: long non-coding RNA, 1138 nt
Filed under: Accipiter nisus (Eurasian sparrowhawk)
Lineage: Eukaryota; Metazoa; Chordata; Aves; Accipitriformes; Accipitridae
Description: lncRNA (ENSANIG00000004838.1)
Source: RNAcentral